Molecule: small RNA, 1709 nt
Filed under: Pan troglodytes (chimpanzee)
Lineage: Eukaryota; Metazoa; Chordata; Mammalia; Primates; Hominidae
Description: retained intron
Source: RNAcentral
CCGGGGCUCUUGAGCUAUAAGUGGCACCUCAGGGCCCUGACGGGCGUCUCGCCAUGCUGCUCCUGGGCCUGCUGCUGCUGCUGCCCCUGCUGGCUGGCGCCCGCCUGCUGUGGAACUGGUGGAAGCUCCGGAGCCUCCACCUCCCGCCUCUUGCCCCGGGCUUCUUGCACCUGCUGCAGCCUGACCUCCCCAUCUAUCUGCUUGGCCUGACUCAGAAAUUCGGGCCCAUCUACAGGCUCCACCUUGGGCUGCAAGGUGAGAGGCUGAUCUCGCUCUGGCCCUCACCAUAGGAGGGGGCGGAGGUGACGGAGAGGGUCCUCUCUCCGCUGACGCUGCUUUGGCUGUCUCCCAGAUGUGGUGGUGCUGAACUCCAAGAGGACCAUUGAGGAAGCCAUGGUCAAAAAGUGGGCAGACUUUGCUGGCAGACCUGAGCCACUUACCUCCCCCAACUCCUCCUGCAGACAAGCUGGUGUCUAAGAACUACCCGGACCUGUCCUUGGGAGACUACUCCCUGCUCUGGAAAGCCCACAAGAAGCUCACCCGCUCAGCCCUGCUGCUGGGCAUCCGUGACUCCAUGGAGCCAGUGGUGGAGCAGCUGACCCAGGAGUUCUGCGAGCGCAUGAGAGCCCAGCCCGGCACCCCUGUGGCCAUUGAGGAGGAAUUCUCUCUCCUUACCUGCAGCAUCAUCUGUUACCUCACCUUCGGAGACAAGAUCAAGGAGGACAACUUAAUGCCUGCCUAUUACAAAUGUAUCCAGGAGGUGUUAAAAACCUGGAGCCACUGGUCCAUCCAAAUUGUGGACGUGAUUCCCUUUCUCAGGUUCUUCCCCAAUCCAGGUCUCCGGAGGCUGAAGCAGGCCAUAGAGAAGAGGGACCACAUCGUGGAGAAGCAGCUGAGGCAGCACAAGGCGAGCCUGGUGGCAGGCCAGUGGAGGGACAUGAUGGACUACAUGCUCCAAGGGGUGGCGCAGCCGAGCAUGGAAGAGGGCUCUGGACAGCUCCUGGAAGGGCACGUGCACAUGGCUGCAGUGGACCUCCUGAUCGGUGGCACUGAGACCACAGCAAACACCCUCUCCUGGGCCGUGGUUUUUUUGCUUCACCACCCUGAGAUUCAGCAGCGACUGCAGGAGGAGCUAGACCACGAACUGGGCCCUGGUGCCUCCAGCUCCCGGGUCCCCUACAAGGACCGUGCACGGCUGCCCUUGCUCAAUGCCACCAUCGCCGAGGUGCUGCGCCUGCGGCCCGUUGUGCCCUUAGCCUUGCCCCACCGCACCACACGGCCCAGCAGCAUCUCCGGCUACGACAUCCCUGAGGGCACAGUCAUCAUUCCGAACCUCCAAGGCGCCCACCUGGAUGAGACGGUCUGGGAGAGGCCACAUGAGUUCUGGCCUGAUCGCUUCCUGGAGCCAGGCAAGAACUCCAGAGCUCUGGCCUUCGGCUGCGGUGCCCGCGUGUGCCUGGGCGAGCCGCUGGCGCGCCUGGAGCUCUUCGUGGUGCUGACCCGACUGCUGCAGGCCUUCACGCUGCUGCCCUCCGGGGACGCCCUGCCCUCCCUGCAGCCCCUGCCCCACUGCAGUGUCAUCCUCAAGAUGCAGCCUUUCCAAGUGCGGCUGCAGCCCCGGGGGAUGGGGGCCCACAGCCCGGGCCAGAGCCAGUGAUGGGGCAGGACCGAUGCCAGCCGGGUACCUCAGUUUCUCCUUUAUUGCUCCC